This 6670-nucleotide long non-coding RNA is filed under the name Sus scrofa (pig). RNAcentral describes it as "lncRNA (ENSSSCG00060064127.1)". The record is from RNAcentral. Lineage: Eukaryota; Metazoa; Chordata; Mammalia; Artiodactyla; Suidae.
CCAAAAGCAAAGUCCAGCCAUCCUGAUUCUGGAGACAGAAUCAUGGUGGCAAAGAGAGAGCUACACUGUGUUCACUGCGGCUCUAGUCACAGUUGCCAAGGGGUGGAAAAACCUGAGCGUCUGUGGACAGACGGAUGGAUAAAGUGCAUAUUCUUCAGCCUUAGAAAAAAGAGGGAUUAUUAUUGAGCCUUAAAACAAAAAGAGGGAGUCCUGUCCUCCCCAACCACAUGGAGGAGCCUGGAGGGAUCAUGCAGGUGGAAUAAGCCGGACAGAGAAAAAAGACCACAUGGUAUAAUUUACUGUGGAAUCUAAAAAAAAGACGUACAACUUGUAGAAACAGAGAAAAAAAUGGUGACUCCCAGAGGCAGGGGGGUGGGGGGACCAGGGAGUGGCUUGGUGAGAGGAUGUAAACUUUCAGUGACAAGAUGAAUGAGGUCUGAGGACCUCAAGCACAGCAGGGCGGCUGUCACGGACAACACCGCAAAAAUUUGCUAAGAAAAUGCAACUUAUGUGUUCUCACCCAAAAAAAAAGGUAAAUAUGUAAGGUAACGGACAUAAUAAUUAAUUAGAUUGCAGAAAUCCUUUCCCAAUGCACAUAUAUAUCAAAUCAUUACUGUCUAUUUUAAAUAUAUUAUAAUUUUAUUUAAUCAUUAGAUAACAAUAAAGCUGAAAGAUAAAGGAUUAACAGAACUAGCUAGUAAUUCUCAAAGUAAAAAAAAAAAAAUUCUGUUUAGAUUUUUUUCUCCUGAAGCCUGUGUAUCCACGGAUAAAUAUCACGUAUGGUUAGAAUAAGACCCAGUUUAAGAUCAGUUUUGUUCUGACUUUUCUUUUUUAAAGAGGUAGUGACUUGCCUCCUUGGUCACACAAGUCCACUGUUGAGAAGAGAUGCUGUUUCAGACAAAUGGAACUCAGUUCUUGGCAGGUCUUCGCAUCCGUACCAAAAGUGACGUGGUCAUAAAAUAAAAACUAGUGUCAAUAAUCAGCCAUCAACUUUAAUCAGCGGGUCUUCCAAGGAAAGAACACCUCUGGGCACCGCCUGAUCUGAAGCAGGGAAGUCACCAGGACACGGGUCACUCAAGCCCCACGUCCCAAGAAUCACGUCAAAGGGCUGGACUGACUGGAGCUUGCUUAGCUGUGCACCUUGUUCAAACCGAUGUGCUCAGAAAGCAUCUGAAAAUACAUGGAGUCAUUUCCAUGCACCUUUCCAUAGAGGAUGCCUUCAUGUGAGAAUUUAUUAUAACCAUGUCUCAAUUAUGUAUGCCCAUAAUUUUUGCAUGUUUAGAUCCUUCCGAUAAUUUAAGAGACAAGACAGUUUGCAGUGUCAAACCUAUGAGCCAAUCAGAAUUCCUUUUUAUUAGAAAAGGUUUUAGUUUCCUUUUAUAUUCAAGUAAAGAUGUUGGUAGAUAGAGAUACUUUUUAAAACAUUGAUAAAUAAAUUAUGCAAUACAGUCAUAAAAUCAGUAAUGAAAUAAGUAAAGUCAGGAUUAAAAUGAAACUGAGCUAAUUCAACUACGUGAUCCAAUUUAUAAUAAACGAUACAACCAGAUACCAACGGCUUUCUCCCUGAUAUUAAUCAAGCAAAGUUAAAUGUAACUAAAGUAAUAAGUACAACAGAAGGCACGAUAUUUCUUUGGUAAAUGCGUUUGCAUGUGUUCACGAGGUGCUGUUGUUAGGCCUUGGAGAAUAAUCCCAAAAAGUACUGCAUUGUUUAAAUCGAGGGCGGGGGGAAUCCCAUUAAUUUUUGUUCAGCCACAUGAUCAAACUUUCCCUUUGGAGGGUGUUUCCUACCUUCAGUCUUGUCUUUGCAUUCGAAGCACAACAGUGCCCAAUGCAUCUGUCCUAAUCCCUGUUUCAAAAAAUCCUGUCACUACUCUUCACAAACCGUAACGGUUCCCCACCCGCCACAGGACAGUGGAACCCAAUCUGAGUGGCCCCGGACGCGGCCCCACGUCUGUCCCUUUCCCUCCUCCACUCCAUCACGUCCCAGCUGGGAGGACAUCUGGUCCUCAGGGCCUGUUUCUCACAGUCUCAGCUCUGCUCUGUCCUGGGCUCGAGUUUGGGGAACUGGAAUUCCAUAUAUUCUGCUCGUUGACAUUAGAGUCCAAGGAAAACAGAGAGCAGAGUCGCACCCUGUGAGCAGAAUCACACCCCGAGUCUCCCCUUCCAUCCUUCCCAAGCACAUGACCUUGCACCCAACAGGUGCUCGUUAGGUGUCUGCCGCUUGGCCCGCCCAGAGAAACCCACUGUCCAGUUUCUCUGCGACCAGCGGUCCCCACCUCCACUGCUGGAGUCUGAGAAGUAGAAACACCAAGAACACUUACGGAGACUCACCCAGGAAGCACUGACUGGACAGCAUCGCCCAGAAGACAGCACAUAUAGCUCCGAAAACAAACAACAACAACCCGACGACAGCAACAACAACAACAAAAACCCACAAAGAAACUACAACUGAGAUGAGCGUGGAAAAGGUGGUGGUUGUGAUUUGUGUUCAUAAGACCUUGGACCAGAGCAUCUCCGAACAGCAUCCUUAAGCGUUUCUGUUUCUAAAAAUACUGCUCGGGACACCAGCUCAGCCGUUCUGAGACCAUGAGAUCUCAAGCAGGGUAUUGAUAUUUUCGAUUCUAGUUAGAGUUUUAGAUGACCUUUGCCUUAAAGCUUCACUAGCCAAGAGCAGGGCUGAGUGCAGCCUCGCCGGCUGCAGCUCUCCGAAGGCCGCCCAGUCCCAGUCCUGAACCAAAGCCAAGGCCCAGUUAAAGUUUCUUCACAGCAGACUUCUUUUCUCACCCAUGACAUUCUUCACUUGGGGAAAGAAAGAAAGAAAGAAACUUAUCUUUCAGAUUUAGCUGCCUCUAUCACACAAGUGUGAACCGGGGGUGGUUUAUGUUCUACGAAGGCUGUUUCUCUUUAUAAAUCCUAAACAUUUAAAAAUAUCUUUGCCUGUGCUGGAAUGUCAAUUUCUGGUAUUUUGGCUGCUUCAACAUGAAUCGUUUGUGAUUAUGAAGCUGUUUCAGUUCUCGGAAUUUGCUGGAGACAGAUUCCCAAACAGAACGUCCUGGGAGGUGGGUGUGGGCAGAUUCGGGAAAGAAUGCACAGCUCCGCUUGGCCUUGCAGUGCAUUUUUUCCAGGGUGCUUUCGUGUUUUCCUCAUACCUGGGGAAACUCUAUAUAUCUCUGGACCACCCGUAUUCUGCAAAGAAAGAUGCAAAAACCCUAAACAUUAAAUUGAGGCAAAACACCCACUCAUGCAGACAGGCGCAGGCACGCUCACGUGCACACACACACACACACACACGCACGCAUGCGUGCACCCACACAAAUACACAGACACACUUGGUGUCCAAGGCCUGUGAAGAAGAGGAGCGGCAGCUUCAAUGUCAACUGUCACAGGUCCUCUUUCCUCACGGCAUCGAUGAGCCAGCUGCAGACCUCCCUCUGUCUCAGCAAAGACAUGUCAGUAAUAAAUUAGCAACACACUCCUGGAAUGACAGGAAGGUAUUUUGGUAGUACUGGGAUAGGGUACGGAUUCAAUAAGAGUUCUUAAGGAGGCCCUUUUAAAGUGCAGGCAGUGGGCUGAGAAUCUGACUGCAGUGGCUCGGUGGCGGGGAAGGCUGGGGUUCAAUCCCAGGCCUGGCACAGUGGGUAAGGAUCUGGUGUUGCUGCACCUGCAGCAUAGGUUGCAACUGCGGCUUGGAUUCCGCCCCUGGCCUGGGACUUUCCAUAUGCUGCAGGUGCAGCCCUAAAAAAAUUUUUUUUUAAAUAAGAAAUAAAGAGCAGGCAGUGAAAAGGCAAGGCAGGCAGGGUGAUGCGGACCUGAGCCUUGGAGAAAGAAGGCUGGGAUUCAGGUUCCCAAAAAAGCCCCAUAUCCCCAGGUCCAGGCCUCUGUCUCCCCCACCCCUUCCUCCAGCAUCCCCAGCCAAGACAGCACUGGCCCUUCUCCUGCACCUCCAGCUCCAUUCCAUCCAUCCAUCGCCCAGCCCAACUGCCUCCCCAGUGGACAUCCUCUGUCCUCAGGUCACCGCGUUAAUUUCCACAUAAUCGAGGUCACCUCUCUCCCGAAGAUGCUGUCACUUGGGCCGCCCUCUGCUUUCGCCCCUCUCCAUUCAGCCAAAGGAUAAUUCAGUUCUUGAGCUGUUGUGUGUGUGCCUUCAACUCCCCAGCUGAGCUGUCUAGAAAAGCACAAUCACCCUGAUGGGGUCUUUCAGUCUGUGGCCAUGAGCUGUGGGUGGGCUCUUACUACCAUCACUCUGCACCUCCCGCUCUCUAGAGGACUCCUCACUCCCCACUUUGUCUCUCCAAAGUCACAAGCCCUCUUCCACCAUGGCACCCUCCACUGGUGGUUUUGCUUCCUACUUCACAACGAAAAUAGAAGCAAUCAGAAGAAAGGGACUUUUGCUGGAGGCCACCUGGGCAUCCACGUCUCUGUCAUUUAUUUUUGGUCCCCACCAGGAACCAUCGGUGCUGCUUUGGAAACAAACAACUCCACUUGCACCCAAAUGCAUGUUCUUGCCUGCUCCAGAAAUGGCCCAGUAGCCUCCCGUCCUACAUGAUCAAUUUUUUAUGCUCCACUGAAUCAUUCCCAUCAGGAUAUAAACAUAAUGCCGAUGCUUUCCACUAAAAAUUACUUCUCUUGGCCUGACCUAUCCCACCAGAUACCACCCCACAGCCUGCUCCCUUUGCAGCAAAGCUUCUUAGAACGCUCAUCAGCCAUCUCUCCGAUUCCUCCCUCCAAGCCCACUCCACCUGGGCCAGAAUCACACACUAUUUUGCUGUUUUACCAAAGCCACCCAUGACCAGCAGGGCACUGAUCCAAGAGUCACGUCUCGGUCCCCACCUCCCCUGGCCCAUCCACACACUGGAUCAUCUGUCCCGCCUUUGGAAAUGAUCCCUGAGACACCUCGCUCUUGACACCCCCGCCCCCCCCCCAGUGGCUUCCCUUGGUCUCCUUCACUGGCUCUCUUGCUCCCCAAAAACCCAGAAUACCCCAGGACCUGAUCCUGAAAACUCUUCUCUCACUAGAUCUCACCUGAGUUCAUUCCUUUAAACACCAACCGCAAGCCAAAGACUUCAGCUCUAUCUCCAGCUCAGAUCAUGGUCUUCCACUAUCAGAUCAGGACACGCCACCAAAUAGCAUCUCUGUUUGGGUGUCUUAUUGUCUCAAAUUCAACCUGUUCAAAGCUGAACUUCCAACUUCCUUCUGCACCAAAGCCUCUCCCCCUGCAGACUCCCCAGCUCAGCUGGUGACAACUCCCCCUAGUCAGGCACGCUAAAAUCUUUGCCAUCACGACGGACUUUCCCUUCUUCUCAAGCCCCACGUCCAUUCCACCGGCACAUCUCAAGGGCUCUGUCUCCAAGACAUGUCAGAAUGUGAGCACGCUUCCCCAUCUCCAGAGCCACCCGUGGAGCAGACUACCGUUACGCCUUGUCUGAAUUCCUGCAGUGGGUUUCUCCAGCGACCUCUGAUGGUCUGCUGGUCCACCGCCGUCCCUGCCCUGCGUUCUAUCAACACUGACGCCAGCAUGCGCAUCACAAAUGGAUCCUGUCCCUCAUCUGCUUAAAACCCUGCACGGAUUUCCCACCACCACACCCAGCAGUCCCCCCAGUAGCCCACAAGGCUAAACAUGGUCAGGUUUCCGUGACCUCCUGACUCCACCCCUGCCCCCGCCCCCAGACUCACAGCUCUCCGCUGGCCCCCCUCAGCCACCCUGCCUCGCCGUGUUCCUCCAACGCGUGGGGUGCACAGAUUGGGUGCUGGGCUUUCACACUCACUUUUUCCUCCAAUUGCAACUCUCUUCUCCCAGACGCUUAACGACUAGUUCCCACAGGUCCUGAAACCCACGUUCGAAUGUCAGUUUUUUAAUGAGACCUCCCGGAACCCUCCGUUUAAGACUCCAUCCCUCUAGACUGGGUUGUUUUUUGUUGUCUCCACAACACUCAUGCCUGGAAAUGAAACGUCCUUCACUUCUCCACACUGUGGAGGGGGGGCCCUGUGUCUAAGGGCCCUUCCCCACCCCACUCCUCCACACACACACUCCCCUCUAACCCAGAAUCUCCCCGGCGGCAGAAGUUGGUGUCGGCAGCAUUCGCCGUGUUCGGAGUUAGAAGAGCACCUGACACAAUGCAGAUGCUCCAUCCACACAUUCUGGAUGAAUUAAAGAGACGCUGAGACCCUGGGGACAACAUAUGAAUCUUCUAAACCUCUUUCUUGGUUGACAGAACAAGACUCAGGAUAUUAACUUGUUGUUAUGUGCAACAAAUGAGGACCCCUGUGGAAAUCUUUGUAAGAUAUUAAUUACUACAAUUGCUUAACAUGACAUGUUGAGGCUCAUCCUUAAAAUUCAUUCAGGAGACACGAACUAGGCAACUGCAUACAUGGUGGGGUUCAAGAGGUACUGAAAAACCCACCCAAGUGGGCUGGGGGUCUUUCCCAACAAGGGCCUGGGAGUCCACCAGGAAGACAAAGAUGGAGGUUUUCAAGCUUUCAUUUUCCAGAUUCAAAGUUACCUCUGAGAAGUCCUGACAGGGGGAGAGGUCCGGUCUUCUGGCCAAAUCCAGACGUCCUGAUGUGCUCAGCUGGCUCUCCCCCUCAUGGCAGGCUGCCCACCUGGAGAAGUGGGAGAAGGUCUCAGGCUCUGGGUCCCUGCAGAUCUCGGGGAGGGGAGUGUGUCGGACUC